CCGGCGCACGGGUGAGUAACACGUAUCCAACCUGCCGUCUACUCUUGGACAGCCUUCUGAAAGGAAGAUUAAUACAAGAUGGCAUCAUGAGUUCACAUGUUCACAUGAUUAAAGGUAUUCCGGUAGACGGUGGGGAUGCGUUCCAUUAGAUAGUAGGCGGGGUAACGGCCCACCUAGUCUUCGAUGGAUAGGGGUUCUGAGAGGAAGGUCCCCCACAUUGGAACUGAGACACGGUCCAA
RNAcentral lists this ribosomal RNA (239 nucleotides) under uncultured bacterium. RNAcentral describes it as "partial 16S ribosomal RNA". It matches the Rfam family "Bacterial small subunit ribosomal RNA", at positions 95 to 334 of the family's 1533-position model. The record is from RNAcentral.